GGGAAAGUGGCUCAGUGGUAGAGUGCUUGCCUUGCAUGCAUGAGGCCCUAGGUUCGAUUCCUCAGCACCA
Molecule: non-coding RNA, 70 nt
Organism: Dipodomys ordii (Ord's kangaroo rat)
Lineage: Eukaryota; Metazoa; Chordata; Mammalia; Rodentia; Heteromyidae
Source: Rfam